This is an RNA transcript of Dipodomys ordii (Ord's kangaroo rat), 840 nucleotides long. It is a transcript of the gene named succinate dehydrogenase complex assembly factor 1, with no coding region annotated. The transcript has 3 exons. The record is from RefSeq and is a predicted model, not a curated record. NCBI's taxonomy places the organism in Eukaryota, Metazoa, Chordata, Mammalia, Rodentia, Heteromyidae.
GCGCGGGACGGAAGUCGCCUGCGGUGGCGGCUCGGUAGCCGCCGUCAUGAGUCGCCUGAGUCGGCUACAGAAACAGAUUCUGAGCUUGUACCGUGAGCUGCUGCGCGCUGGCCGCGGGAAACCGGGCGCGGAGGCGCGCAUCCGGGCGGAGUUCCGGCAGCACGCCGCCCUCCCGCGGUCCGACGUGCUGCGCAUCGAGUACCUGUACCGCCGCGGACGCCGGCAGCUGCAGCUGCUGCGCUCGGGCCACGCCACGGCCAUGGGCGCCUUCGUGCGCCCGCGGGGCCCGGGCCAAGAGUCAGGCGACGCCGCCGCCGGAGCCCCGGGGACCCCACCUGACGCAGGUCACAGACCGAGGGAACCUCACGACCACACGGGGGCACCCGACACCCGGCCCGAUGACCGGCGAGGGAGUCCCCCGGUCGGUGGCGCCCGGGGUGCGGCAUGACAGUUUGGGGGAAGACCGGAAACUCACCUGAUGGCAGUGCUGGGGAUGGAAAAGGCCUUGCACAUACACACUACCACUGAGCUAUAUCCCCCAUCCCCAAGGUGACCACCCUGUUAAUGCUACGCUGGCUCCAUUUCAAGGUUUCACUGUGUAACUCAGACUGGUCUUGAACUCAGGAUCUUCCUGCUUCCACCAUCUGAGUGCUGGAAUUAUAGGCGUGUACCACCACACCUGGCUGCCUGAAUGCCUGAAGGCCACUUUAGCCACCAUUAGACUUAAGAAGGAAACCAAAACAAGAACUGAAGUGGAUAUAUCCUUCGUGGCCCUGGAUCUAGAAGUCCUAAACUUCUUAAUUACUCAUAGAAAUAAACUCUCAUUUCUGUUUAAAGUCA